UCGAACGGUAACAGGCUAAUGUGAUCCCUUCGGGGUGAACUGUGCGCUGACGAGUGGCGGACGGGUGAGUAAUACAUAGGAAUCUACCCAGUAGUGGGGGAUAACUUGGAGAAAUCCAUGCUAAUACCGCAUAUGUCCUACGGGGCAAAGCAGGGGACCCUCGGGCCUUGCGCUAUUGGAUGAGCCUAUGUCGGAUUAGCUAGUUGGUAGGGUAAAAGCCUACCAAGGCGACGAUCCGUAGCUGGUCUGAGAGGAUGAUCAGCCACACUGGAACUGAGACACGGUCCAGACUCCUACGGGAGGCAGCAGUGGGGAAUAUUGCACAAUGGGCGCAAGCCUGAUGCAGCAAUGCCGCGUGCGUGAAGAAGGCCUGCGGGUUGUAAAGCACUUUUAUUGGGAAAGAAAAACCCGGAGCUAAUACCUCCGGCAUUGACGGUACCCAAAGAAUAAGCACCGGCUAACUCAGUGCCAGCAGCCGCGGUAAUACUGAGGGUGCGAGCGUUAAUCGGAAUUACUGGGCGUAAAGCGAGUGUAGGCGGCUACUUAAGUCGGAUGUGAAAUCCCCGGGCUCAACCUGGGAAUUGCAUUCGAUACUGGGUAGCUAGAGUUUGGUAGAGGUAAGUGGAAUUCCGGGUGUAGCGGUGAAAUGCGUAGAUAUCCGGAGGAACAUCAGUGGCGAAGGCGGCUUACUGGACCA
This 697-nucleotide ribosomal RNA is filed under the name uncultured bacterium. RNAcentral's name for it is "bacterial SSU rRNA". It matches the Rfam family "Bacterial small subunit ribosomal RNA", at positions 62 to 736 of the family's 1533-position model. The record is from RNAcentral.